RNAcentral lists this ribosomal RNA (253 nucleotides) under uncultured bacterium. RNAcentral's name for it is "partial 16S ribosomal RNA". It matches the Rfam family "Bacterial small subunit ribosomal RNA", at positions 524 to 776 of the family's 1533-position model. The record is from RNAcentral.
UACGGAGGGUGCAAGCGUUAAUCGGAAUUACUGGGCGUAAAGCGUGCGUAGGCGGUUAUUUAAGUCAGAUGUGAAAGCCCUGGGCUUAACCUGGGAACUGCAUUUGAUACUGGAUGACUAGAGUUGAGUAGAGGAGAGUGGAAUUUCAGGUGUAGCGGUGAAAUGCGUAGAGAUCUGAAGGAACACCAGUGGCGAAGGCGGCUCUCUGGACUCAAACUGACGCUGAGGUACGAAAGCGUGGGUAGCAAACAGG